GCAGGGUUAUUAUAGAACUUAUGAGCUGGACAUGCAAGCUCAAUUCAUGAAGUAAUUAACCAAAGGCCCUAAAAUGGAAUUUCCUAAGUUUGAUGGAACAGAUCAUGUUGGAUGGAUCGGGCAAUGCAACAAAUACUUUCAGAUGUCUGCAGCUCCAGAGGAAUAUAAGGUUUCACUUGCUCAGCUGUACAUUGUUGGUGAUGCUGAUACUUGGCUCAGAAGAUCUGGUAUCCUGAAGAAACAGUUGAGCU
Molecule: long non-coding RNA, 251 nt
Filed under: Hordeum vulgare
Lineage: Eukaryota; Viridiplantae; Streptophyta; Magnoliopsida; Poales; Poaceae
Description: long non-coding RNA (HVUL_LNC011753)
Source: RNAcentral